UGAUAAUUACUUUGAUUACUUUACUAACCCUUGCCCAGUGACUAGGACCGUUGUCAUUUGUGUUGCCAUAAACUUCCAGGAAUUGUGUUUAGGUAGAAGAUGGUGUACGUUUCUUUACGCUGUAGCUUCUGGUUUUGCUUUAUUGUCUGUGAUGAUUCUACAUAUGACGGGUAACCUUCAGUCUAUUCCCACCAUGGUAACGGGACUAUGUAUGUUUGGUAAACUGGGAGUGACGGCUUCUUUUUCUCUCAUCAGUGUAAUGGCUAUAGAGAUGUAUCCUACAGUUAUCAGAUGUAUGGGAACUGCUAUAGGUGUAGCUUUUACCGCAGCUGGUUCAAUAUUGUCUAGACAGUUUAAAUUCCUGGAUGCGUUUCAUUAUACAAUACCAUUUGUUGUCUUUGGUGGAUUUAUUAUUACAGUUGGUUUUAGUGCGCUAAUAUUACCCGAAACAAUAGGAAAACCCCUUCCUAAUAUAUUACCUUGUCGUCAUCGUAAAAUACCACUAACUGAAGGUGCCCGUUUAUUUAAUCCCUGGGAAAGUGUGUAGAAUACAUCAAAGACUGUUUUUAUAUACAACGAUAUUUUAUCAGAUUUUGAUUACUCAGAUGUUCUUUAGCUUGACAUUAGAAUUUAACAUACUCGUAAUCUUAUGUCUUGAUAUGAGACCUAUUUUAUAUAAUGCUGUUUUGUGAUAUACAUCGUCGUUUUUCUUGAUGUCACCAUCAACAGUUAUUGUAGUGAGAGCGAAAGCAAUAGUUAUUGUUUAUAAAGGACAAACAGGAUUUCCGUCCAGAAGAAAUAAAGACUAAUGACGAACAAAGAUAAUUUAAAUUUGUAGAUUUUGUGCAUAAAAUACAUGUACUUAAUCGGAAACCAAAUUAUUUUCCCUACCGGGAGUUUAAAUGAUACGAUUUUAGUUGUGUAACAGGGAGGGGGUGGGAUUUUGCUCGUGUACCUUUACACCUUUCUGUGUCCUAUGUACUUCCCUUUAAGAACAGACUACAUCUGCUUUUGGCAAAGAAAACAGAUAAUGGCGCUCAAGGAUGUGAUCAACCCUUUGUUAAUAAUUUGUGUAUUUGAAGUAUUAUGUUAUAUUAUGAAGUACCUGUGUGUUAUCUAAACAUCUUGAUAAGCCCGCGAAGGCGCCUGAAACACGCUGUGGCGUUCUGGGGCUUUUUGUUUUAGUUUUUUAAAAAUUUACUAGUAUUAAGAUAUUGGAACAUAACGAUAAAUAUAUAUAUACCUUACGGAUUAUUUGUGUUGAUCGUAUGUUAAUUAUACUUUUAUAAGUAUAAAGAUCGGUUGACGGGUAAUGAAACACACGUACACCAAAGCUGUUGUAUGAGCAGUCCGUAAAGGUUGUCGCGUGUAACUAAAAGGCAAAACCUACAAAUUUUAUUUACUGCAUAUCACUGGAUGGAAGCAAACAUUAAGCUAUCUGCUACUACUACUACUGCUGCUUACUACUACA
This is a long non-coding RNA of Patella vulgata (common limpet), 1471 nucleotides long. RefSeq lists it as uncharacterized. The transcript has 5 exons. Lineage: Eukaryota; Metazoa; Mollusca; Gastropoda; Patellidae. The record is from RefSeq and is a predicted model, not a curated record.